RNAcentral lists this ribosomal RNA (491 nucleotides) under uncultured bacterium. RNAcentral's name for it is "partial 16S ribosomal RNA". It matches the Rfam family "Bacterial small subunit ribosomal RNA", at positions 29 to 507 of the family's 1533-position model. The record is from RNAcentral.
GUGAACGCUGGCGGUAGGCCUAACACAUGCAAGUCGAACGGCAGCACAGUAAGAGCUUGCUCUUACGGGUGGCGAGUGGCGGACGGGUGAGGAAUACAUCGGAAUCUACUUUUUCGUGGGGGAUAACGUAGGGAAACUUACGCUAAUACCGCAUACGACCUACGGGUGAAAGCAGGGGAUCUUCGGACCUUGCGCGAUUGAAUGAGCCGAUGUCGGAUUAGCUAGUUGGCGGGGUAAAGGCCCACCAAGGCGAGGAUCCGUAGCUGGUCUGAGAGGAUGAUCAGCCACACUGGAACUGAGACACGGUCCAGACUCCUGCGGGAGGCAGCAGUGGGGAAUAUUGGACAAUGGGCGCAAGCCUGAUCCAGCCAUACCGCGUGGGUGAAGAAGGCCUUCGGGUUGUAAAGCCCUUUUGUUGGGAAAGAAAAGCAGCAGGUUAAUACCCCGCUGUUCUGACGGUACCCAAAGAAUAAGCACCGGCUAACUUCGUG